RNAcentral lists this ribosomal RNA (497 nucleotides) under uncultured bacterium. Its description in RNAcentral is "partial 16S ribosomal RNA". It matches the Rfam family "Bacterial small subunit ribosomal RNA", at positions 28 to 507 of the family's 1533-position model. The record is from RNAcentral.
GAUGAACGCUGGCGGCGUGCCUAAUACAUGCAAGUCGAGCGAACGGACGAGAAGCUUGCUUCUCUGAUGUUAGCGGCGGACGGGUGAGUAACACGUGGAUAACCUACCUAUAAGACUGGGAUAACUUCGGGAAACCGUAGCUAAUACCGGAUAAUAUUUUGAACCGCAUGGUUCAAAAGUGAAAGACGGUCUUGCUGUCACUUAUAGAUGGAUCCGCGCUGCAUUAGCUAGUUGGUAAGGUAACGGCUUACCAAGGCAACGAUGCAUAGCCGACCUGAGAGGGUGAUCGGCCAGACGGGAACUGAGACACGGUCCAGACUCCUACGGGAGGCAGCAGUAGGGAAUCUUCCGCAAUGGGCGAAAGCCUGACGGAGCAACGCCGCGUGAGUGAUGAAGGUCUUCGGAUCGUAAAACUCUGUUAUUAGGGAAGAACAUAUGUGUAAGUAACUGUGCACAUCUUGACGGUACCUAAUCAGAAAGCCACGGCUAACUACGUG